CCUACGGGAGGCAGCAGUAGGGAAUCUUCCACAAUGGACGAAAGUCUGAUGGAGCAACGCCGCGUGAGUGAAGAAGGGUUUCGGCUCGUAAAGCUCUGUUGGUAGUGAAGAAAGAUAGAGGUAGUAACUGGCCUUGAGUUGACGGUAAGGACGGAGAAAGUGACGGCUAACUACGUGCCAGCAGCCGCGGUAAUACGUAGGUGGCAAGCGUUGGCCGGAUUUAUUGGGAGUAAAGCGAGGGCAGGCGGUUCAAUAAGUCUGAUGUGAAAGCCUUCGGCUCAACCGGAGAAGUGCCUCCGAAACUUUUGAACUUGAGUGCAGUAUAGGUGAGUGGACCUCCCUGUGUAGCGGUGGAAUGCGUAGAUAUCUGGAAGAACACCAGUUGCGAAGGCGGCUCUCUGGUCUGCAACUGACGCUGAGGCUC
RNAcentral lists this ribosomal RNA (424 nucleotides) under uncultured bacterium. RNAcentral's name for it is "partial 16S ribosomal RNA". It matches the Rfam family "Bacterial small subunit ribosomal RNA", at positions 338 to 754 of the family's 1533-position model. The record is from RNAcentral.